This 253-nucleotide ribosomal RNA is filed under the name uncultured bacterium. RNAcentral's name for it is "partial 16S ribosomal RNA". It matches the Rfam family "Bacterial small subunit ribosomal RNA", at positions 524 to 776 of the family's 1533-position model. The record is from RNAcentral.
UACGGAGGGUGCAAGCGUUAUCCGGAUUCACUGGGUUUAAAGGGUGCGUAGGUGGGCAAGUAAGUCAGUGGUGAAAUCUCCGGGCUUAACCCGGAAACUGCCAUUGAUACUAUUUGUCUUGAAUACUGUGGAGGUCAGCGGAAUGUGUCAUGUAGCGGUGAAAUGCUUAGAUAUGACAUAGAACACCAAUUGCGAAGGCAGCUGGCUACACAAAUAUUGACACUGAGGCACGAAAGCGUGGGGAUCAAACAGG